Molecule: long non-coding RNA, 2738 nt
Organism: Lagopus muta (rock ptarmigan)
Lineage: Eukaryota; Metazoa; Chordata; Aves; Galliformes; Phasianidae
Exons: 5
Source: RefSeq, a predicted model, not a curated record
CUUGGCUGGGUGUUAUAGAGCAGAUGUUCUCUCUCCCAUCUUGCUGAGGUGGGGGAGUAAGUGAACAGCUGUGUUGUGCUGAGCUGCUGCUAAGUUAAAGCUACUGCGCUACCAAAUUCACCUGUGUGAUUUGGUCAGGGCCCCACUACUACUUCUGCAUAUCAUGUUGGAGAGAGUCUGGUGCCUCUGCUCCUCCAUCCUUUCCUUCCUGGAUGUUCGUGUGGGACCUUGGUGACAGCAGACAGAAUUGGAGAUAAUGAGCACUGCGUGGAACAGCAAUGCCUGAGUUCAGCUCUGCCUUGUGAGAAACAGAGCAAGAGGCUGGUGGAGGAUGGGGAAUUGAAAAUGGUCUCAAAGGAAGUUGAAGUGGGGGGAGAGAAUGGAGGAAGGAUGCCCAGCUGAUAGACAGCACCUCUACCUUGCAGAAGAUUCAUUCCACUGCACAUUUUGAAUCUGCUGACAAGAAACUUGCAGUGCAAGUAAUCAGAGCCUUCACAAGAUUGAUUUUUGUCCCCUGCUGGUAUAUGGCAUACGGGGGGGGGAAAAGGUUCUCAUCUCUCAGUGUAAUCUUAACUAUUUAGAAGCCAUUAUUGCAGGAUUACAAAUCACUUGUACCUUUCUUGUGCAACUUCGUUAUUUAUUAGCAAGUCCAGCAAAUUAGUCAGGUAAUAUUAUGUAGGGUUCCAGUCCUGAAGCUCUGUCUCAAGUGUGUUGCUGGAUUGUUCCCUCAAUUUGCAAAUGCUAGUAAAUCUAUGAAGUUCCAUAAACAAUACUGCAUAUUGCUGAGUGCAAAUAUUUAGCAUUUUUUCUAUUUUUCCUAAUUGCAGAGAGGGCUUAGCAAAUGUUGCAUGUGUAGCUCACUUUUCAAAGUGACUCGAUAAAAUUGCAGAUGCAUUCUGUCCUAGGUUUGUAAGAAAUGCUUAAAGUCAACUUGUCAUAGAGACUAAAUUGAAUCUGCUACCUAUACAGCUCUGGAAGGGAAGAUGUAUGGGGGGGGGGGGGGGGGGGGAAGAGAAGCAUGAGAUUUAUCUGAUGUUUGGUUGAUGUACGGCUAUAUAAAAUCUUAAGUAAUACAGAUAAUGUCACACAAUAUUGCAACAUAUAUUUUCACUUGAAUGUUAUAAGACAAUAAGGCAUAAAUGGAAAUUAAAGGGAAAAAAUCUGAAUGGUUGUCAGAGAACACUUCUUCAUUCAGAGAAUCAUAAACAUAUGGAAUGGUGUGUCAGGCAAAGUUCUGAGAUAAGAAGGGAGUAAUUACGAAAUGGAUUUAUAUCCUGAGGUAUAAAGUACAGACAAUGGAAAAGAGCUUUAAGUCACGUGAUUUUUUUUUUUAACCCUCACUAAAAUUAACCCUCUCUAAAAAGAAAUGCUCAUGAUGAUUGUAUUUAAUAGGUUCCAUAUAAUCUAUUGCAGUUUGCCUUUUCUUUGAUCACUGAUGGAAAAUAGACAUGUGUAAGUUGUCUCACAUUCACACACUGUGUACUUUUAAUGCGUAUCAGUAUAUCAAAAUUAAAUAAUAGAAAUUGAUAUGUUCCAUAGCUCUAUCCAUACUGAAGUUACUUCUUGAUGUAAAAGUAAUGGCUACUUAAAACAUAUGAAUUCUUGAUACUGGGAAAUACUCAAAGUGAAUUUCAACUGAUGAAUGUAUUAAAAAAACAGCUUCCAGGGCAAAUAAAAUCAAUAAGUAUAUUUUCAUGUGUGAAACAGGUAAUUAGAGGAACAGUUAUACAAAAAUACAAAAUAACUUGCCAUUGCUAUUCCAAGGAAGAGUGGGGAUAGCAAGGACAUCACUCGGUCUUUGAACUGCUUCAAGAAAUUCAGAUAGGAGAAAAAACUUUUGUAGGACAUUUACUGUUGAGACUGAGAACUGUGAUAGUGGAUUCACAGAUUCUGGUUUACUGAUUAUCUCCUGAUUUGUAUAUGCAUAGGCUGGAGUUAAUUAGUUAGAGCAGCCAAUCUGUAGCCCUCAUACGUAACUGGUAAAUCCCAUUAGAGGUGGAUUGCCUCUCUCUGUCAUCUCACUACUUUCCAGUCUUACUGUUGUCUUCAAUGGACUGAACUCACUGUGUUUACUUCAGAUACCUCUUCUUGGACAAGCAAAGAGAAAUUGAAGUCUAAUAUCUAAACGUAAUGAUAAUGCAUGUAUCUAAAUGUUAUGUAAAAUAUAUCCAAAUUUCAGUAUUUUUCUAAGCUUUCAGUCUAGUCUAUGUUGCUGUGCUGUGAGGCUGCAUCUUGUAUGUGUAAGGCCUCCCACAAAGGUGAGGUACCAAUGAGUAAUGUAUGGAUGUUAAUGUUAAGACAGUCUCUUUAAUGUAGAAGUGAUCCUACAAUGCAUGAAGAAUUACUAUGGUGGAUGAAAAUCACUAUAUUUCCACUAUGUCCACAAUGGGACAAUGAGCAUACUGACUGGCAUUGCCCUUUUUCCAGACAGUAACUUCAGAAAUUCUUGCUAAAUGGGUGACUUUAUUUUCUACCUAACAAAAAUUGGGGUGAAAUAUAGAAACAGAAUGGGAAGACCUCUUAUCCUGUCCUAUCUUAAAUGAGAGUGAAGAAAGAUGAAGCUUAGUAAAAGGCUUUUGUUGUGGUCCUUGAAAAGGAAAAAAAACUCAUAUUUUUCAGGGGAAAGAAAUUGCCCAGGAAGACAAGCUAACUCAUGCUAAUGAGCAAAACCCUAUAGUUAACAUGGGAAAGAACUAGAUUUAACAAAGACAGCCUGUACACUGUCUGUACCUAUCCCU